UAGGGAAUCUUCGGCAAUGGGGGCAACCCUGACCGAGCAACGCCGCGUGAGUGAAGAAGGUUUUCGGAUCGUAAAGCUCUGUUGUAAGUCAAGAACGAGUGUGAGAGUGGAAAGUUCACACUGUGACGGUAGCUUACCAGAAAGGGACGGCUAACUACGUGCCAGCAGCCGCGGUAAUACGUAGGUCCCGAGCGUUGUCCGGAUUUAUUGGGCGUAAAGCGAGCGCAGGCGGUUUGAUAAGUCUGAAGUUAAAGGCUGUGGCUCAACCAUAGUUCGCUUUGGAAACUGUCAAACUUGAGUGCAGAAGGGGAGAGUGGAAUUCCAUGUGUAGCGGUGAAAUGCGUAGAUAUAUGGAGGAACACCGGUGGCGAAAGCGGCUCUCUGGUCUGUAACUGACGCUGAGGCUCGAAAGCGUGGGGAGCGAACAGGAUUAGAUACCCUGGUAGUCCACGCCGUAAACGAUGAGUGCUAGGUGUUGGAUCCUUUCCGGGAUUCAGUGCCGCAGCCAACGCAUUAAGCACUCCGCCUGGGGAGUACGACCGGCAAGGUUG
This 551-nucleotide ribosomal RNA is filed under the name uncultured bacterium. RNAcentral describes it as "bacterial SSU rRNA". It matches the Rfam family "Bacterial small subunit ribosomal RNA", at positions 355 to 896 of the family's 1533-position model. The record is from RNAcentral.